Molecule: long non-coding RNA, 1364 nt
Organism: Vidua macroura (Pin-tailed whydah)
Lineage: Eukaryota; Metazoa; Chordata; Aves; Passeriformes; Viduidae
Exons: 2
Source: RefSeq, a predicted model, not a curated record
GGGUUGCUCUGGCAGAAGGAGACAUCAAUUGCCACUUGGGGGUGGCCCAAGAGACUUGUGAGGAAAGAUGCACCGAAGGAGCCUUUCCUGCCAUCCUGCUGCUUCGCCAGAUGUUCUCCAUUUGCUGCCUGUGCAGUGAUUUCUCCUCUCUAGGCAUCCUGUAACUGCCUUCAUCUCGCUGAUUUCACAGCACUCCCACGGCAUCAAGAGCACUUUGAAUUCUGGUCCCGUCCUCCAGAGCUCUCACAAUCACUCCCAGCCUCCUGUCACCCACAAAUGCUAUCAGCAUCUCCUCUGCUCCAGCCCAGAGGGAGCAGGAGCUCCCUGAGGUCCCCACAGCCUCUCAUCUUCCCAGGGCACCCCAGUGCCCAUCCUUGGGCUGGUGACGUUCAAGGCAUUCAUUCUGACCGUGUGAGAUUUUACUCAGACUGUGCUUGCUGAGUUCCCCUUGAGUGUGUUUGAGGAGCACCUGCUGACCGUGGCACACCGUGUGUCACAGCCCUUGGUGAUGGUCAUUUGCCCCCCAGGACCUUCUCUCCUUCCACUUCCCUGACCAAGCCCUCCUUAAAGCUGCAUUUCAGUUUUUAUUAUUUAUUCUCAAGAAAUGUAUAAACCUCUGCUGGCUCUGUCUCCUGGGCCACCAUCUAAUCUUCCAGGUGAUGACAACUUGAUUGGUGAAUAAUAGAUUCCAGUCUCUUCCCAGCUGCUGAAUGGAGCUGUAAUUUCUAAAUGCAUCCUUGAAGAAGGAGCAGAGCUUGUCCUUCUCCAGGGGUUGGUUUUUAAUCAGCCCAGUUGUCUUUUCAACGUUGAAAACUUCUUUUCAUUGUAAUAUGCAAAAAACCCAAACAUGGAAAUGAACCAUUCACCUUGAAUUAGUGUGCAGAUUAGGGACCCAAUGUUUUGGAUGCUGCAGAAAUCCUGUAAGUGAUGUUCUCUGCUCUGGAAAACUUUAAUAUUAAGCAGGCAAGGUAAGCAACUGAAAAGACUGAAAACAGACACCAGGGGAUUGAAUGAAUUGCUGAGGCAUAGAUCCGUGUCACGCUGGAGAUUAAAAGUCAGUCUCUCUGAAACCCAGAAGAAAACUUUGCUGUUGCUCUGAUCGCUUUUUUUGAUGGGCUGUGGAAAACACAGAAAAAUGAAACUGGUCCCUUGAAAACAUUCCAAGUUGAAGAAUGACAUGAAAUGUGAUUUUUAUAAUUUCAAAUAUGGACAUUUAAAAACUUCACUAAAAUCCCAAUAAGAACUCUCAGAAUAGGUUUGGUGGGUUUUUUUGUUACUCUGUAUUUGUACUUUCAAUGCAGAAAGAACCUACUGAUAUACCUGUCUCAUAACGUUAGCAAAAAGAAUACUUGGAGAAAGCCGAA